This 680-nucleotide non-coding RNA is filed under the name Pongo abelii (Sumatran orangutan). The record is from RNAcentral. Lineage: Eukaryota; Metazoa; Chordata; Mammalia; Primates; Hominidae.
UAAAAUAAUAGAAUUUUUUAAUAAAUUUUCUUUUCCCAAACAACUUCUUUUGAUCUUCACCACGCAGGGGCCACAGUGGAGAGGAAAGUUCUCUCCAGGUGCCCUAAAAAGUGUCCAGGGUAGACUUAGGAGAAAAGUUUUCCUCCAGUGUCAGGAGGUUGAGGGGACUAGGGUAAGCAGGGUUCAGGGUCAGCCUGGCCCUGACUGAGGCAUCCCCCAAAGGGUCCUGGGUGGGGCUCCCUGGGGGAGCUUCCAAAGGCUCUGCUGGUGGAAGAUGCUCUGCAGACAAAAGCCCCUCUGGUGUCCGCUGUGGGCCCUUAGGAGUGCGGGUCAGCGGCUGCCUGGGGGGCCCCACCCCAGCCUUGGGAUGGGGAAGAGUUAAUGGCCAGAAUUGGGGAGGGCAGGGCUGAGCCACCACACACGCCCUCUUGGGGCUGCCAUAAGUCAGGACAGCCCAGGGGGCAGGCAAGGAGAGGCGGCCUGGUCCCCGGGGAGGAGAGGAGCUGGGAGGGGAAAGGGAGGCAGCAAGGCCGGGUGGUUGGAGGAGCUGUUGCCGCGGGCGCGGCUGCCCGGCCGCGUGGGUGCCGCGGGCGGACACGCCUGGAAAUCGGCCUCGCGGAGCGCGCGCAGGUCUCGGCCCUGGCGCUCCGGGGGGGUGGCGCAGGUCACGUCGGAGCUGG